RNAcentral lists this ribosomal RNA (501 nucleotides) under uncultured bacterium. RNAcentral's name for it is "partial 16S ribosomal RNA". It matches the Rfam family "Bacterial small subunit ribosomal RNA", at positions 30 to 523 of the family's 1533-position model. The record is from RNAcentral.
AUUGAACGCUGGCGGCAGGCUUAACACAUGCAAGUCGAGCGGGGGAAGGUAGCUUGCUACCGGACCUAGCGGCGGACGGGUGAGUAAUGCUUAGGAAUCUGCCUAUUGGUGGGGGACAACAUCUCGAAAGGGAUGCUAAUACCGCAUACGUCCUACGGGAGAAAGCAGGGGAUCUUUGGACCUUGCGCUAAUAGAUGAGCCUAAGUCGGAUUAGCUAGUUGGUGGGGUAAAGGCCUACCAAGGCGACGAUCUGUAGCGGGUCUGAGAGGAUGAUCCGCCACACUGGGACUGAGACACGGCCCAGACUCCUACGGGAGGCAGCAGUGGGGAAUAUUGGACAAUGGGGGGAACCCUGAUCCAGCCAUGCCGCGUGUGUGAAGAAGGCCUUAUGGUUGUAAAGCACUUUAAGCGAGGAGGAGGCUACUUUAGUUAAUACCUAGAGAUAGUGGACGUUACUCGCAGAAUAAGCACCGGCUAACUCUGUGCCAGCCGCCGCUGUAA